CAGCCGCCGCGGUAAUGCGAAGGGUGCAAGCGUUAAUCGGAAUUACUGGCGUAAAGCGUGCGUAGGCGGUGAGUUAAGUCUGCUGUGAAAUCCCCGGGCUCAACCUGGGAAUGGCAGUGGAUACUGGCUCGCUAGAGUGUGUCAGAGGAUGGUGGAAUUCCCGGUGUAGCGGUGAAAUGCGUAGAGAUCGGGAGGAACAUCAGUGGCGAAGGCGGCCAUCUGGGACAACACUGACGCUGAGGCACGAAAGCGUGGGGAGCAAACAGGAUUAGAGACCCCCGUAGUCCCUGUCUCUUAUACA
Molecule: ribosomal RNA, 301 nt
Filed under: uncultured bacterium
Lineage: Bacteria
Description: partial 16S ribosomal RNA
Rfam family: Bacterial small subunit ribosomal RNA
Source: RNAcentral